GUAGCCCGGAAGUGGGGGAAUACCUCGGGGAAACUCGAGCUAAUACCGCAUAACAUCUUUAGGACGAUGGUCCUGACGAUCAAAGCGGGGUCGCAAGAUCUCGCGCUACCGGAUGGGCCCGCGCCUGAUUAGCUAGUUGGUAGGGUAAUGGCCUACCAAGGCGACGAUCAGUAGCUGGUCUGAGAGGAUGAUCAGCCACACUGGGACUGAGACACGGCCCAG
RNAcentral lists this ribosomal RNA (222 nucleotides) under uncultured bacterium. RNAcentral describes it as "partial 16S ribosomal RNA". It matches the Rfam family "Bacterial small subunit ribosomal RNA", at positions 125 to 334 of the family's 1533-position model. The record is from RNAcentral.